Molecule: long non-coding RNA, 1124 nt
Filed under: Homo sapiens (human)
Lineage: Eukaryota; Metazoa; Chordata; Mammalia; Primates; Hominidae
Description: HSALNT0316206
Source: RNAcentral
GGCAACCGGAGUCCUUUUCCACACUGUGGAAGCUUUGUUCUUUUGCUCUUUGCAAUAAAUCUUGCUGCUGCUCACUCUUUGGGUCCACACUGCCUUUAUGAGCUGUAACACUCACCGUGAAGGUCUGCAGCUUUACUCCUGAAGCCAGCGAGACCACGAACCCACCGGCAGGAACGAACAACUCCAGACGCGCCGCCUUAAGAGCUGUAACACUCACCGCGAAGGUCUGCAGCUUCACUCCUGAGCCAGCGAGACCACGAACCCACCGGAAGGAAGAAACUCUGAACACAUCCGAACAUCAGAAGGAACAAACUCCGGACACGCCGCCUUUAAGAACUGUUAACACUCACCGCAAGGGUCCGCGGCUUCGUUCUUGAAGUCAGUGAGACCAAGAACCCACCAAUUCCGGACACAAGGGGAGCUGACUUUCAUUAUAAAGAUUUUCUCAUUGCAAAGUGAAAAAGAGAAUAAUAACUUUAAAACAAGGCAGAAAGUAAAGAGAACUGGAAGCGAGGAACAUGCUCUGAACUAGAACUGGCAACAUGAGAGAUGAGCUCAGGCUUCAAAAUGGUGUCUGCACUGGGUCUUGAAGGAAGAGCAGAGUUUGGGCAUUUAGAAACCAAGAAUUCCAGGUGAGGAUAAUGUGUCAUAGAUAUUUCUUGCGUUUGGCUGCCCAGCCUCUAUUAUUUGUUUUUUAUACCCAACACUCUGAUUUACGGUUGGGGAAAUUCUCUCCAUCCAUUGGGUAAAGUUCACAAAAUAUUAUUUACAGAGAUGCUCUGAUUUCCUCUAGCUAAAGCCAGGUCAAUUGGAUUUUCUCUGUAAUCUGAGCAGAGUGGCAAAAAAAAAAAAAAAAAAAAAAGCAAUAAUGUGGCCCUCAUUUGUUCACUCUGGUUGUGCCCUGAAAAGAUUGUCCCACAGUUUUUGUUACUCUGAGAUCUUGUCCCCCAACCCCAAACUGAGCUUUCUAAGCCUAACACUUCAGUUUCUGUGAAUUUCUACACAUCCUUCCGGUAUAUCCCCAUUUUUCUAAGGUAGCCAAAAUCAGUUUUUGUGGCUUGAAACAAAGGACUGUGAAGUGCCAAAAGUAAAUCCAUGUGUGGGCUACACUGCAGAAUGCCAAA